CCUACGGGAGGCAGCAGUGGGGAAUAUUGCACAAUGGGCGAAAGCCUGAUGCAGCAACGCCGCGUGAACGAAGAAGGCUCUUGGGUCGUAAAGUUCUGUUCUGAGGGAAGAAGAAAGUGACGGUACCUCAGGAGAAAGCCCCGGCUAACUACGUGCCAGCAGCCGCGGUAAUACGUAGGGGGCAAGCGUUGUCCGGAAUUAUUGGGCGUAAAGAGUACGUAGGCGGUCUGUUAAGCGCAAGGUGAAAGGCAUAGGCUCAACCAAUGUGAGCCUUGCGAACUGGCAGACUUGAGUGCAGGAGAGGA
This 305-nucleotide ribosomal RNA is filed under the name uncultured bacterium. RNAcentral's name for it is "bacterial SSU rRNA". It matches the Rfam family "Bacterial small subunit ribosomal RNA", at positions 338 to 658 of the family's 1533-position model. The record is from RNAcentral.